Molecule: long non-coding RNA, 778 nt
Filed under: Gouania willdenowi (blunt-snouted clingfish)
Lineage: Eukaryota; Metazoa; Chordata; Actinopteri; Blenniiformes; Gobiesocidae
Description: lncRNA (ENSGWIG00000019576.1)
Source: RNAcentral
GUCAUGGCAAAUUUUAUAUUCAUCAUCAUAUCCUCAAAUGUAUGUUCAUGUGUACAAUUUGUCAUGUUUUAAUACAUGACGACUCCAUUAAUCUUUACACUUUUGAACAGCUGAAUCAUGAUUAAACAGUACAGAUCGUAUUAUUCUCAGUGCAGCACAGUCUCUGCCAAGGACAUACACUGACGUACACACUUAUCAAGACAGAUAAAGACUGGAGCCAAACCUUCUCAUAACAUCUUCAUCAUCCUCCAACAUUGCCACUAUGGGCAUCUGACUCCCUCCCUUUUGUCUCUCACUGUUGGGACCUUUUCUUAUCUGUAUAAAAAGCUUAAGCUUUGAAACUGUUGGGGCGGGGCGCGGCACUUCCUUUGGACGUCCGCCUGGACGGACGCUAAUUUUGUUUCACUUUGUUCCACUUUGUAUUCUUUUAUUUAGUUUAGAAUAAAAUCAUUUUUUAUUAAAUCAUCAAUGCUUCUCCUGGAUUCUAUCAUUCAACCAGAGCAAUGAAUCAUGUCUCAAAUGAGGUCAACCGUAAAUUCUGCCGUAACAAUUGGCGAUCACGAACAGGACCAUCUUCUGUCCACCCCUCGGACAGAGACUGGAGCACGAACCAUCGGUUGAACCUCAAACACCAAUUCGGACUAAGAAUGCCACCGCCUUCUCGACUCCGAUCCUUCCUCCAGCCGCCAUGCCUGGUCACUGCUUGUUAUGAUGAAGGAUGAGAAUUAAAGGGAAGUAUUGUCCAUAACUGUAACUGGGAAACAAAGGGGAAAUAGAU